GAUCAUGGCUCAGAUUGAACGCUUGCGGUAUGCAUAACACAUGCAAGUCGUACGGCAGCACGGGCUAAGGCCUGGUGGCGAGUGGCGAACGGGUGAGUAACGCCCCGGAACGUGCCUUGUAGUGGGGGAUAGACUGGCGAAAGUCAGAGUAAUACCGCAUGAAGCCACGCAGCAUGCGCGGUGAAAGUGGGGGAUUCUAGCCUCACGCUACUGGAUCGGCCGGGGU
This 226-nucleotide ribosomal RNA is filed under the name uncultured bacterium. RNAcentral's name for it is "partial 16S ribosomal RNA". It matches the Rfam family "Bacterial small subunit ribosomal RNA", at positions 15 to 236 of the family's 1533-position model. The record is from RNAcentral.